RNAcentral lists this ribosomal RNA (384 nucleotides) under Triticum aestivum (bread wheat). RNAcentral describes it as "partial small subunit ribosomal RNA". The record is from RNAcentral. Lineage: Eukaryota; Viridiplantae; Streptophyta; Magnoliopsida; Poales; Poaceae.
AUGGAUCAGGAUCUGGAAACGAGGAGGGUCCUUCUUCGAGGCAGGGGUAGAGGAGGUCUCUAUCCUGUCAAACACACCAGAGGAAACGUCAGGAAGCAAGUGCUAAGUGUCACUAGACCAUCUUUGGACGGGUGGCACCGACGUUUUGGUCACCCAUCUUCCAUUGUUGUUAGGAAUAUUCUUAGUGAAAAUAAACUCCCGUGUGAUAGUAAUAAUGAGAAUAAUCUUGUUUGUGACGCAUGCCAAAAAGGCAAAAGUCACCAGUUGCCUUAUCCAAAAUCUUUUAGUGAAUCAAAGUUUCCUUUGGAACUCAUUUUCUCUGAUGUAUGGGGUCCUGUCAUUGAAACCGUAGGAAGAAAAAAAAUAUUACGUGAGUUUCAUUGA